Molecule: ribosomal RNA, 253 nt
Filed under: uncultured bacterium
Lineage: Bacteria
Description: partial 16S ribosomal RNA
Rfam family: Bacterial small subunit ribosomal RNA
Source: RNAcentral
UACGAAGGGGGCUAGCGUUGCUCGGAAUCACUGGGCGUAAAGCGCACGUAGGCGGGUCUCUAAGUCAGGGGUGAAAUCCUGGAGCUCAACUCCAGAACUGCCUUUGAUACUGGGGAUCUCGAGUCCGGGAGAGGUGAGUGGAACUCCGAGUGUAGAGGUGAAAUUCGUAGAUAUUCGCAAGAACACCAGUGGCGAAGGCGGCUCACUGGCCCGGUACUGACGCUGAGGUGCGAAAGCGUGGGGAGCAAACAGG